UUACGAGUCGGUCGGGUGUGCGAGCUGCAACGAUGUGCUUGUUUGAUCGUGUGUUUUUGUGUUUGCUGUAACGAAAUGUGACUUAGUUCGCGUGCGCAUAAGUGCCACAGACAGCUUGUGUCUCGCUGCAAACUCGCCGUGUGCGUGGCGCGCCAGCCAAAUGUGGACCAACGAUGUUCAUGCCGUGGAGUGCGUUCCCUUUGUCUCUGGUUGUCGUGGAAAGUUGGGUGGACGUCGCGAAGAAUUAAUGCGUGUUGUUAGCGUGCCACUGCUCGUCCACUAUGCACCGGCAUGUCUGCUGGAAGUAACAUCGAAGCACCGGCAACUUGGAGGGCGCUUUUCGACCGCGUCGUGCCAUUCAAAAGUGGUGAAGCCGUGACCCACAACAGUGUCCACAUAACCCGUGGCAAUGGCUGCAGCAGCACGCCGUGUAAUCUGGAUGGACAUGUCAGGUAUGCUUUAAGUGGUACACGUGCACUUACUUCAAGAUGACGACACUCCACCUCAAGAACAGCCUUCCUCAAUGAUAAGUAGCGAGAUUAAGCGAAAGGAAGAUAUCACAUCCGUAACCAGACUGAUACUGUGUUUUCCUUUCAUUUAACCUCCUUCUGCAUUUAAGGAAGCAUUGAUAUGCCCAAUAAAUGUUCUUGUUAAAUUUCU
Molecule: long non-coding RNA, 660 nt
Organism: Dermacentor andersoni
Lineage: Eukaryota; Metazoa; Arthropoda; Arachnida; Ixodida; Ixodidae
Source: RefSeq, a predicted model, not a curated record